Molecule: long non-coding RNA, 1315 nt
Organism: Homo sapiens (human)
Lineage: Eukaryota; Metazoa; Chordata; Mammalia; Primates; Hominidae
Gene: ZNF37BP
Product: zinc finger protein 37B, pseudogene
Source: Ensembl
AGGUUUGUUUUUCUCCGGUACAGCCUGGGAACGUAGGUCCCGCGCCUGUGAUAAGUAAGAAUCUCGCUGUCUCCUUCCAACCACCUGUGGUCGGCAUCCCCGCGUUGUCACUGCGACGCAGAGGCGAGCGAGGUCGCAGCUUCAUGGCCUGAUGCCUUCAGGAAGUAUUUUGAAGUCAUCGUGGCUGUGGAUUGGGGGAUUUCUUGUUUCCACUGACCUGUGAGGCCGCGCACGUGGAGGGAGGCACCCCGGGUCCUCCGGCACUGUCCGGCCUCGCCUGUGUCCCUAGUAGCAGUGGGCAUUUCCAGACGGUGCAGCUUGUGGCUAAAGUGACAGGAAGAUGUAGGAGCUUUCAGUCUUGGAUGAGGAUUCGAACUGAAGGGCUUAGGCCCAGCUGUCUUGGAGCAAAACAUCUGUUGUGGGAUGUGGCGGCAGAGGAGGGCAAGGCCGAAGGAGCAGACAGCACCGCUUCUUGGGGAGUUGUGAAGGCAUCAUGCGGAGGGCCGAGCUUAGCAGCCAAGUGGAGGACAGCACCCUCCAUGCCUGGAUUCGUUACUCGCUCGUUCUCGAUGUUGAGCUGCUGGCAUAUUGCAGCACAACUAGAGAUGUACGGAUGCCCCCAUCUUGAUCUUACAGAAUCAGAGGUGCAGCCGCAAGAAAGGUCUAGUCAAGAACAGACACUGAGUCGCUUGAGGACUCAGGCAGGUGUUUGCUGCAUUGACAACAGACUACACCCUCUCGGUUUUCUCUGCUCUGCCAACACUAGUGGAAUAUGAUCACAUCCCAGGGAUCAGUGUCAUUUAGGGAUGUGACUAUGGGCUUCACUCAAGAGGAGUGGCAUCAUCUGGACCCUGCUCAGAGGACCCUGUAGAGGAAUGUGAUGCUGGAGAACUACAGCCACCUUGUCUCAGUAGGGUAUUGCAUUCCUAAACCAGAAGUGAUCCUCAAAUUGGAGACAGGCAAGGAGCCAUGGAUAUUAGAGGAAAAAUUUCGAAGCCAGAGUCAUCUGGAAUUAAUUAAUACCAGUAGAAACUAUUCAAGAAUGAAGUUCAAUGAGUUUAACAAAGGUGGAAAAUGUUUCUGUGAUGAAAGCAUGAAAUAAUUCAUUUUGAAGAGGAACCUUCUGAAUAUAAUAACAAUGGGAACAGCUUCUGGCUGAAUGAAGACCUCAUUUGGCAUCAGAAGAUUAAAAAUUGGGAGCAACCUUUUGAAUACAAUGAAUGUGGGAAAGCUUUCCCUGAGAAUUCACUCUUCCUUGUACAUAAGAGAGCUUACACAGGACAGAAAACAUGCAAAUAUACUGAACAUGGGAAAA